Molecule: transfer RNA, 73 nt
Filed under: Micromonospora echinospora
Lineage: Bacteria; Bacillati; Actinomycetota; Actinomycetes; Micromonosporales; Micromonosporaceae
Description: tRNA-Pro
Rfam family: tRNA
About the family: Transfer RNA (tRNA) molecules are approximately 80 nucleotides in length. Their secondary structure includes four short double-helical elements and three loops (D, anti-codon, and T loops).
Source: RNAcentral
UGGGAUGUGGCGCAGUCGGUAGCGCGCCGGUCUGGGGGAUUGGAGGUCGCCGGUUCGAACCCGGCAAUCCCAA